Long non-coding RNA from Cyprinus carpio carpio, 1225 nucleotides. The record is from Ensembl. NCBI's taxonomy places the organism in Eukaryota, Metazoa, Chordata, Actinopteri, Cypriniformes, Cyprinidae.
UGUAACGGGUGUAUAUUAUCUAAAAAAAUCAUUAUUAUUUUGGGGGACUUUUAUUUUGACGGGCGGAUUGGUUUUCGGCGAUGAGAGUCAGCGAGGAGAAGAAGAACGCGGGUGUAUGUGUGACACACAGAAAAAGUGAGUGUUGUAUUUGAGAAGCUCGUCCGAUAAAGUGACUUAAACGAAAGUUAAUCGGGGCUUAGAUCGAAUAAAGGACAACAUCAAGUAAUUUUUGUGAGCUGUGUCCCGCGUUUCGUAGUUUUUUUUUUUUUUGUGAGUUUUGAUCUGUGAAUCGCAUUGCGUUGGACUGCUGGAGUGACGCAGUAAUGUUUGUGAAGGCUACAAGAACUGUGAGUGUAUUUAACUUACAAGUUUAGCUUGAUUAGUGACGAUUGAAGAGAUUUUAUUUUUUUUCUUCCUCCACAUUUUUGUUUAAGUUUUGGACUUUUUCCAUCUUGAUUGAGAAGCACUCGUACAAACUAACGUUUCAGGAAGUUUGGUCACGCGCAUUUUUGUGUUCGGCACGUGUUAUCGCACGUGAGAUGCAAAUUGCUGUCUGCAGUUGGUGCUGAACAUCGGGGGGGGGGGUUUCCAGAAGAUUUGAGUUUAAGACUAUUUUGUGUUACCCUGCCAUCCAACGACAUCUCAGUUUGACAUCUCAGUGGUGUAUCGCAGUUUAAUACAUCCCUGUUGGUUCAUUUCAUUUUUGAUUCACCUCAGUUUGAUUCAUUCGCUUUCGACUCAUUUUUGAUUCAUUUUUUUGUGGGACAUUUCAUUGAGCUUGAGUGACAUUGCUACGAAAUCUCAAGAUAAUUUCAACGCACGCUACGUCAAGAACUCAUCUCAAUUCCUUAUUUUUUUUAUAUUUUUUGAUCCGAGGAACUUUGAACUGUGAGAGUUCGGUUGAAUCACAGAACCUAAAGUGAACUGAAGCUGUCAAGGAGUAGGGGCGUCUCAGCUACUUUAUUAGACCAGAGGAGGGAGGAGUAUAUUAGAUUUUCUCACACCUUUUACUUUUACUUCAGGAAGCCAGUGACAUUACUUAAGCUGAAGCCUACCCUCGUCGGUCUGUACAUUCCAAUAAAGUAGAACACAACAUACAUACAAUUAGUGUGUAGUGAGACUAAAAGCACUGGAAGCGGAGACUAAGAUCUUUUCGUUAUUCAGUCUUCCGUGGCAGCACUAAUACAUCUUCCCCUACAAGACGGGUUAAAUACUCGUUACACGU